This 312-nucleotide unclassified non-coding RNA is filed under the name plant metagenome. RNAcentral describes it as "partial contains 5.8S ribosomal RNA, internal transcribed spacer 2, and large subunit ribosomal RNA". The stretch from base 1 to 105 matches the Rfam family "5.8S ribosomal RNA", at positions 50 to 154 of the family's 154-position model. The record is from RNAcentral.
GAAAUGCGAUAAGUAGUGUGAAUUGCAGAAUUCCGUGAAUCAUCGAAUCUUUGAACGCACAUUGUGCCCUCUGGCAUUCCGGGGGGCAUGCCUGUCCGAGCGUCAUUACGCACCCUCAAGCCCGGCUUGUGUGAUGGGCCCCGGCGUCUCGUUCGCGAGACGGGCCCGAAAGGCAGCGGCGGCGUCGACCCGAUGAGCCCGAGCGUAUGGGGACUUCUGUCACACGUUCGCGGUGCGGACCGGCGCCUGCUUGACUUUUCUGAUUAUCCAGGUUGACCUCGGAUCAGGUAGGGAUACCCGCUGAACUUAAGC